RNAcentral lists this ribosomal RNA (686 nucleotides) under Melanelia agnata. Its description in RNAcentral is "SSU rRNA". It matches the Rfam family "Bacterial small subunit ribosomal RNA", at positions 375 to 1047 of the family's 1533-position model. The record is from RNAcentral. Lineage: Eukaryota; Fungi; Ascomycota; Lecanoromycetes; Lecanorales; Parmeliaceae.
GCAAUAGCUACUUGCAUCAUUGAAAAUAUGAUGCAAGAUCGACUAUGUCGAAUAAAAUUCUAGGUAGAAUUAUGAUAAUGACAUUGUCUGCCUAUGUGUCUUGACCAAAUUACGUGCCAGCAGUCGCGGUAAUACGUAGAAGACUAGUGUUAUUCAUGUUUAAUCGGUUUAAAGGGUACCUAGACGGUAAAUCAAGCCUAAAAGGAAGGAAAUAAAGGGACUAAUUUACUAGAGUUACUUAUGAGGGGGUAUUAAAGUACUGCUGGUGUAGAGAUGAAAUUCUGUCAUACCUCUUUUCAAUAGAAAAAUAAUGGCACAGGUAUAGGCGAAAGCAUCCCCUUAUGUGAUAACUGACGUUGAGGGACGAAGGCUUUGUGUAGCGAACAGGAUUAGAUACCCCAGUAGUCAAAGCAGAAAAUGAUGAAUGUCAUAGAUUAGAUAUAUAAGUUUAUUCUAUAAAUGAAAGUGUAAGCAUUCCACCUCAAGAGUAAUUUGGCAACAUUGGAACUGAAAUCAUUAGACCGUUUCUGAAACCAGUAGUGAAGUAUGUUGUUUAAUUUGAUAAUCCGCAAAAAACCUUACCACAAUUUGAAUAUUUAUAUUUUUUUUAUUGUUUUUCUUUUUAAUUUUCUUCCGAUUUUCUAGUUAAAGGAAAAUUAGAAGAAAAAGAAAAAAGAGGCAAUAAG